This is a long non-coding RNA of Tachyglossus aculeatus (Australian echidna), 1744 nucleotides long. RefSeq lists it as uncharacterized. The transcript is spliced from 8 exons. NCBI's taxonomy places the organism in Eukaryota, Metazoa, Chordata, Mammalia, Monotremata, Tachyglossidae. The record is from RefSeq and is a predicted model, not a curated record.
UCGGGGCGCCGUCCGUGAGGAGGGACGGUCGGCUCCAGUCGGUCAGCACUGUUCUAGGCGCAGAUAGAAGCCGAUCAGGGCGCGCCUCGCUUGCUCGACGGGGAGGACGCGGCCCCGGCAGAGCAGCCCCGUUCGUCUUCGGAAGAAGGUGGCCGGCUCCACAGGGACUGCUGAGAGGAGGCACCGACUGUUGGACAGGAGGAGGCCCCUCAACUUCAUCGACUGCCUUCUAUCCCAAAGACUCUGAAUCUUGCACAGGACAUAUAAAGAAUGUGGGAUUGAAGGCCCCCAUCCAUCUCCCUCCAGCUGUUCUGAUAGGCCUCACUUGAGAGUGGGGCCAGGAGUGACCGUGCCCUGAUCUGUUCUUCUGAAACAGCUGCAAGAAGUUGCCUAUAUCCACACAUCAUUGGAAAGGUUUGAGGAAAGACUCAGUAAAAGAAACAUCUAUUUUAGAUUCUUUCAAAACCUCUAAGACAUCCAUCUUAGAGGAAAAAUCCAAGUCACAGUUUGAGAACCUCCUAAAUUAGUUACUGUUAGCAGAGAAAACAGUACCAGAAGCAUAAUGGAAGGAUUUAAGCCACCCUGUAACACAGAAGAUGGCAGUUCCCUCAUCUCUCCGCCUGAAAUUCACGACUUGGAGGUCAGCAAUGAGGAGAAGCCGAGCGAUACAUUGAAAAUUGAUGAAACAAGCUUUCUCCUUGAUAAACCGGGUGAUUUAGCAGUAUUUAAAUAUGAAGGGUAUGGUGUAACUCCAGCACUAGAGAGUAAUACCCCUUCUAGUAGCCAAAGCAAAGCAAAUUUGAAGUCAGAGGUCGAACAGUUGCCAACUGAUUUACCACCUAAGUGGGCCACUAGGAAAUCUGGCUCCAAGGUCAAUACUGGCAAGGGUUUUAAGGAAGGCAGUUACACUGAUGAAGAGCCAGUUGGCAAGAAGGCUAAGUCUAAGUCUAAAUUCCAACUAAAAUGGCCAUCCAGUGGCACUGGCGACUCCCUGUUCCAAAGUACCUCACAACUCCUGGGAUUUGGUAUGGAAAAGAAAGAAACGAUGUUUGAAGAGUCAUCAUCAAGUGAAAGUGAUGUGGACAUCCCAUUUCUGGACUGGAGCGACCAAGAAAGCGAGUCAACAGGAGUGAUGGAAACAAUACCCUUGGAGUCCUUUGAAGAUUAUUUGUUUCGCAAGCAAGCGGCAAGAAGCAUAUUUUUCUCAGGGAGCAGCCCCUUCCGAUGCAACUCCGAUCAACCCGAAUUCGAUCUAGAACUAUUCGAUUCAGCUUCAACUUGUGACCAGAAAUCCUUUUUCCUGUCACCGAAAGAAAAAGAGAGAGAAAUGGAAAACACUGCAAGCCCAGAACCAAAAAAGAGAAGAUACUAUAUGUGAAGAGAUCAUCCAAGUGCAUAAUUCUACUUGAGAUUUUGUUUUAUUCAGAAGCUGAGAAAUCAUUGAGUUCUGUCGACCCUAAACCUGUUAUGAAGUUGCACACCUUCUAGCAGCCUGGGGCCCACUUUCCUGGAUUACUCUCCAGCAGGUCAAGUUGGGUAAUUUGUAGUUAUGUGGGUUUCUACUUAGAGAAGUCUCCCCACUGACAACCCACUCAAGUUUCAAUUUUAAAAUUCAUAGUUUAGGAAACGAGUGUUUAUUUGUAAUCCUGUUAAGGAGCUUGCUGCUAGAAAGGCUAUUCAUGUUUAUGUCAAAGAGGAAGCGGUUAUGGUAGGCCUGAUUUAAUUACCUGGUAUUUUGGAAUAA